This 30-nucleotide non-coding RNA is filed under the name Cricetulus griseus (Chinese hamster). Lineage: Eukaryota; Metazoa; Chordata; Mammalia; Rodentia; Cricetidae. The record is from RNAcentral.
ACUUAGUAUCAUUAGAACACAGGAGCUCUA